AUGCUUCACUGGCUUCACAGGCCCUUGCUGUGCCCACCUCCGGCUCCUCCUCAGGCACCAGGCCGGGCGGUGGCCGCCUCCAGCUCACCACCUCCGAGGCCGCACUUCCGGGCAGCGACGCCGGCGGAACUGAAGUCCGCAGAUGCCGCGACGCGGCGAACCACUCGGUCAGAGCACGUUUCCGGCGUUUCCAUGGAGACUAGUCGCCGCCGCCAGGUCGCACUUCCGGCCAAAGUCGCGGGGCCGGGGCAACCGCAGUUUCGCCCUAGCGACGGGGCGGGGGCGGGGCCUGCGCUGUCAAUCUGUAGGCCACGCUCCUCGCAUGUGCUGUCGGGCGGGAGAAGCUGUUGCCACUGCAACCUAAACAGGAGUGGAACUGCCAAAGCUGCCCUGGACUGGCCUGAUUCCACAGGAUUUGGGGGCAUUAAGUGAGAAUUCUAAUAGUUCAUAGUACAUAGCAGGUAUAAUUAAGGUUACUAAUCAGCUGACUAGAUAAGGAGAUAGUCCUGGAUUGUUUGGAUGGGCCCUAGGGAAUCAUAAGGGUUCUUUGUUGUUGUUCAGUGGCUAAGUUGUGACUCUUUAUGACCCCAUGGACUGUAGCACGCCAGGCUUCCCUGUCCUUCACUAUCUCCUGGAGCUUGCUCAAACUCAUGUCCAUUCAGUCGGUGAUGUCAUCCAACCAUCUUGUCCUCUGACAUCCCCAUCUCCUCCUGCCUUCAAUCUUUCCUGGCAUCUGAGUCCUUUCCAAUGAGUUGGCUUUUCGCAUCAGGUGGCCAAAGUAUUGGAGCUUCAACUUCAGCAUCAGUCCUUUCAGUGAAUAUUCAGGGUUGAUUUCCUUUGGCACUGACUGGUUGGAUCUCCUUGCAGUCUAAGGGACUCUCAAGAGUCUUCUCCAGCACCACCGUUCAAAAUCAAUUCUUUGGCAUGCAGCCUUCUUUAUGGUGAAAAUCUCACAUCCAUACAUGAAUGCUGGAAAAACUAAAGCUUUGACUAUACAGACCUUUGUCAGCAAAGUGAUUUAUCUGUUUUUUUUUAACACGCUGUCUAGGUUUGUCAUAGUUUGUCAAAAGGGUUCUUAAAGGUAGAAGAAUACUCGAAGUAGGAGGACUCCAAGGUUUUGAAGGCAGAGGGCCGUGUGGUGAGGAACGUGUGGGUGGUGGUAGUGGACUCUUGAAUUUCAGAAGAACCCUGGGAGACAGCCAACAAGAGAACAGGGACUUCGUCCUACAGCUUCAUGGAGCUGGCUUUUCUAGCAACCUGACUGAGCUGGGAAGCAGACUCUUCCCCCCAACCCAACACACUCCUACAAUUUUUGUUUUCAGUUCAGUUCAGUCGCUCAGUCAUGUCCGACUCUUUGCGACCUCAUGAAUUGCAGCACGCCAGGCCUCCCUGUCCAUCACCAACUCCCAGAGUUCACUCAGACUCACAUCCAUCAAGUCAGUGAUGCCAUCCAGCCAUCUCAUCCUCUGUCGUCCCCUUCUCCUCCUUCCCCCAAUCCCUCCCAGCAUCAGAGUCUUUUCCAAUGAAUCAACUCUUCCCAUGAGGUGGCCAAAGUAUUGGAGUUUCAGCUUUAGCAUCAUUCCUUCCAAAGAAAUCCCAGGGCUGAAUGGACUUCAGAAUGGACUGGUUGGAUCUCCUUGCAGGCCAAGAGACUCUCAAGAGUCUUCUCCAACACCACAGUUCAAAAGCAUCAAUUCUUCGGUGCUCAGCUUUCUUCACAGUCCAACUCUCACAUCCAUACAUGACCACAGGAAAAACCAUAGCCUUGACUAGACGGACCUUUGUUGGCAAAGUAAUGUCUCUGCUUUUCAAUGUGCUAUCUAGGUUGGUCAUAACUUUCCUUCCAAGGAGUAAGUGUCUUUUAAUUUCAUGGCUGCAGUCACUAUCUGCAGUGAUUUUGGAGCCCCCGAAAAUAAAGUCUGGCACUGUUUCCACUGUUUCCCCAUCUAUUUCCCAUGAAGUGAUGGGACCAGAUGCCAUGAUCUUAGUUUUCUGAAUGUUGAGUUUUAAGCCAACAUUUUCCACUCUCCUCUUUCACCUUCAUCAAGAGGCUUUUUAGUUCCUCUUCACUUUCUGCCAUAAGGGUGGUGUCAUCUGCAUAUCUGAGGUUAUUGAUAUUUCUCCUGGCAAUCUUGAUUCCAGCUUGUGCUUCUUCCAGCCCAGCGUUUCUCAUAAUGUACUCUGCAUAUAAGCGAAAUAAGCAGGGUGGCAACAUACAGCCUUGACGUACUCCUUUGCCUAUUUGGAACCAGUCUGUUCCAUGUCCAGUUCUAACUGUUGCGUCCUGACCUGCAUACAGAUUUCUCAAGAGGCAGGUCAGGUGGUCUGGUAUUCCCAUCUCUUUCAGAACUUUCCACAGUUUAUUGUGAUCCACACAGUCAAAGGCUUUGGCAUAGUCAAUAAAGCAGAAAUAGAUGUUUUUCUGGAACUCUCUUGCUUUUUCCAUGAUCCAGCGGAUGUUGGCAAUUUGGUCUCUCAUUCCUCUGCCUUUUCUAAAACCAGCUUGAACAUCUGGAAGUUCACGGUUCACGUUUUGCUGAAGCCUGGCUUAGAGAAUUUUGAGCAUUACUUUACUAGCGUGUGAGAUGAGUGCAAUUGUGUGGUAGUUUGAGCAUUCUUUGGCAUUGCCUUUCUUUGGGAUUGGAAUGAAAACUGACCGUUUCCAGUCCUGUGGCCACUGCUGAGUUUUCCAAAUUUUCUGGCAUAUUGAGUGCAGCACUUUCACAGCGUCAUUUUUCAGGAUUUGAAAUAGCUCAACUGGAAUUCCAUCACCUCCACUAGCUUUGUUCAUAGUGAUGCUUCCUAAGGCCCACUUGACUUCACAUUCUAGCAUGUCUGGCUUCAGGUGAGUGAUCACACCAUCGUGAUUAUCUGGGUUGUGAAGAUCUUUUUUGUACAGUUCUUCUGUGUAUUCUUGCCACCUCUUCUUAAUAUCUUCUGCUUGUUAGGUCCAUACCAUUUCUGUCCUUUAUCGAGCCCAUCUUUGCAUGAAAUGUUCCCUUGGUAUCUCUAAUUUUAUUGAAGAGAUCUCUAGUCUUUCCCAUUCUGUUGUUUUCCUCUGUUUCUUUGCAUUGAUUGCUGAGGAAGGCUUUCUUCUCUCUUCUUGCUAUUCUUUGGAACUCUGCAUUCAGAUGCUUAUAUCUUUCCUUUUCUCCUUUGCUUUUUGCUUCUCUUCUUUUCACAGCUUUUUGUAAGGCCUCCCCAGACAGUCAUUUUGCUGUUUUGCAUUUCUUUUCCAUGGGGAUGAUCUUGAUCCCUGUCUCCUGUACAAUGUCACUAACCUCCGUCCAUAGUUCAUCAGGCACUCUAUCAGAUCUAGUCCCUUAAAUCUAUUUCUCACUUCCACUGUAUAAUCAUAAGGGAUUUGAUUUAGGUCAUAUCUGAAUGGUCUAGUGGUUUUCCCUUCUUUCUUCAAUUUCAGUCUGAAUUUGGCAAUAAGGAGUUCAUGAUCUGAGCCACAGUCAGCUCCUGGUCUUGUUUUUGUUGACUGUAUAGAGCUUCUCCAUCUUUGGCUGCAAAGAAUAUAAUCAAUCUGAUUUUGGUGUUGACCAUCUGGUGAUGUCCAUGUGUAGAGUCUUCUCUUGUGUUGUUGGAAGAGGGUGUUUGCUAUGACCAGUGUAUUUUCUUGGCAAAACUCUAUUAGUCUUUGCCCUGCUUCAUUCCGUAUUCCAAGGCCAAAUUUGCCUGUUACUCCAGGUGUUUCUUGACUUCCUACUUUUGCAUUCCAGUCGCCUGUAAUGAAAAGGACAUCUUUUUUGGGUGUUAGUUCUAAAAGGUCUUGUAGGUCUUCAUAGAACCGUUCAACUUCAGCUUCUUCAGCAUUACUGAUUGGGGCAUAGACUUGGAUUACUGUGAUAUUGAAUGGUUUGCCUUGGAAACGAACAGAGAUCAUUCUGUCAUUUUUGAGAUUGCAUCCAAGUACUGCAUUUCUUUUUUUUUUCCAAGUACUGCAUUUCUAACUCUUUUGUUGACCAAAAUGGCUACUCCAUUUCUUCUGAGGAAUUCCUGCCCACAGUAGUAGAUAGCCCAGCGUUCAGGUCUCCAAGC
This 4047-nucleotide long non-coding RNA is filed under the name Bos grunniens (domestic yak). RNAcentral describes it as "lncRNA (ENSBGRG00000013786.1)". The record is from RNAcentral. Lineage: Eukaryota; Metazoa; Chordata; Mammalia; Artiodactyla; Bovidae.